GCUUUCCCCGAGAAAGGCUGGCCCAGGGAGGCUUCUAGAAACCUUCUCCCUAACUCUUCCAGCCUGAUUUCUCCUUGACCCAAGAAUCGCAGCCUCUCUGGGGGCUGUUGGGAAGGAGCAUGGCUUCCCCCUGGGUUCAGUUCCCCUUCCUUCCCAUGAGGGUCCUCACCUGCUCCAGCAUGUCCUUAGCGAGGUCCUCCUGCUCAUCCAUCUUCAAGAUGGCCUGCCGGAUCUCCUCGUUAGAAAGCUUCAACCUAAGGCAAAACCCCACCUCAAUCCAGGACAGUCCUCAAACCUUCUUCUCCAAAAGGUAUCACCUCUGCCUUCCCUCAUUCCCUAACAGGACUUGGGAAUAUAUUUAAUAGUAUUCCCCCCACACCUCCUCUACAAAGCCUUCGUAGACUAGACUAGUAUGAUUCAGUCCAUAAACUUGAUAAUGAGCAUUUUAGUGUCAAAAUAGAGACGUGAGGGUCUCUGUUCUCUUGAUAAUCCAUCAGAGCUGAUGGGGCAUUUGGGAGUAAAAGAGAUGUCUUCAAUGUAGACCAAAGGGACAGGGCAAAGGGUUCCUGAUCCUUCUCCUCCUCCUCCUCAUGCCUAAAAAAUGCACAGCAUCUCCACAGGAGGACAGGAUUAUCGGCAAGCCACUAAGAGGGCAAUUUCCUGCUGCCUUCAUUCUCAGAACACAGAAUCGCUCUCAGUCUUCUGACAGCGCCUUAGCUCCCACACAGCUGUCCCAAUCAGUCUUGCUGUCUGGGAGAGGGAGAAGCCACACACCCCCAUAGCCCUUCCCUGUCCCCUCCACAUGCACCCCCAUUAGGAACCCUAGGGAUUCAGAACUCUUUCCACCAUCAAGUGGGGGAAACUGAGGCCUGGGGGCUUGUGAGAAGAAAGGGAGGAGGAUGUCUCAGAGGCGGCUGGGGCAGCACUAAGAAUAGUAUGGGAGGUGGUGCCCUCUGACCCUGGCUCAGGCAGGAGGCCCCCCGUACAGAAGCUGUGCUGUUAGUGCAGAUACUGCCCUGUUUGUUCGGCAGCCGCGGGAAAUGCUUAGGGGCUGAGAUCAUGCUGCUCCAUGGCCUGAGCCAAGCGAGGCCCUCCGUGGGCUUAGAGCAACUCAGCUGCCAGACGCUGACCAGGCUGGGCAAGGGCCUCGUGACUGGGCAGUUUCCUGCCUGCAGAGCCCCAAACUGCUGCUCAAGGCAGGUUCCCAGGAGACAGUUCCAGAUCAAUGCCUGCCCUUCCCAGCGGACAGCAGAAAGGCAGGGGCCCGAGACUGCCACCACUCCAUUCUUCCACCCCCUUUGUCCCCCAGGCAUCCAACUCAACCACCUUCUUUUGCACAUACUUGGAAAGAAGGAUGAUGCAGUUUUGGGCCCUCCGGCCAUCAAUGACCGACAGCUCUUUGACCUUGCGGGAAGCCAGGUAGAUGUCCUCAGUGGAGCCCAGCUCUUUCUGCAACCAACAAGUCAAGUGGACAGUUGAGGUGUGUGUUCCCUAAUCCUCCUCUUACCCACCCCGCAAGAGCCACCUCCUACCAAUCCAGGAAUGCUCCUGGUGUGAGGGGAAGGGGGAAGAAAAAGACAGGAGACAGAGGAGGGUGGCUAAUAGCUAACUUUAAGAGAAGGUAUCUGGGACUUUUCCAUAGGCUCCAAUGGGUUGGGGAAGGACACUGAGGAGCCCCUCUACCUAUUUUUUUUUUUCAGAAAUUUUCUUUAGAAAUUAUCCACUCUGGGCAACGAGGGAAGGGGCUAUGCCAGUGGGUCAGGGUAUGACUGAUCCCUGUGGCUUUGGGCAAUGUGACAUAACCUACCAUGUCUCCCACAGAAUCAACUCCCACUCCCACUGCCCAACCCAGAGGCCCUCCUCAGGCUUAUGCUGAGAACCUGGUUGCAAACCCCCCUAGGGAACAGUUGCUGACUCCUAGGGACUUCAGGCACAGCCCAAGAUGCCCAGGGUAGAGAGCAUCCACAAGUUCAGAGGUAUGGAAACUGAGGCAGAACUCUCUCCUCUGAGUCCCAGCAGGCAGAUUCCAGAGAAAUCAUUGAUCCCGCCCCACUCCUUCUCUUGGGCCCCUGGCGAGGUAGACAGGAGGCUGUCUAGUGUGCUGUUCUUCCUCUGGGAGGUCCCUCUUGCACAACUUCAGGGGCCGCCUCGCAUGGUUAUCUUUGUGAAUUGUGUCAUGCCUACCCUGUGUGUCCUUACAGGAAAGGCUCUCCUUUGGCCUGGUGGGUAAGACAGCAGACCUAGAAGCCUUCUCCUCAUUCCAGGAGACAUUGACCUCCACUGCUGCCAGGGGUCUAUUUGAUUACCUCCCUCCGCUACAUUUCUUCUUUCUCUUUGGGGGCCCUCUCCCAUACUACCCUGUAUGAAUGGGGAAUAAGGUAGAAAGUGGAAUGGACAAGUCCUCUCUGUCAGGCCCAGUACAGAGCAGCAGCCCGGGACAGCAGUUAAAAGUUGGAGUGGUCAGAGCCCCGAGAGUAACUCACCUGCUGAGAAGGAUUAGUUAUCAGCUCCUAGGCAGCAGCCACAGCCAACAGAGAAUUAAACAUGCACAACAUUAGCCAAGACAUUUGGGGACCCAGAAAUAGCAUGACAGACACGGGGAUCCCUCAGCAUCUACACUGUCCACUUCAUCCCAGUGAGACCCAUGGUUGUAGACAGGCACCCAUAAGUGGCACUAGACAGGAGCUGCUUCUAGCAGACAUGCACUCACGGAGAAGCCAAACGAAGCGGAGAUCAGGCAGUUCCUCCCAUCUGCCCAGUGCGACCACCACUCCCCAGUCAGGGCAGACCAAACCCCUGAGUUCUCCCACCCCAGGCUUUGCUGCCUGUUCUUCCUUUUCCUCUGCUGAAAACCUGCGGAGAGGGUGGAGGACAUUCCUCCAUCCUGGGAUGAGUUCACCUUUCUAACUAGGGGAGGAGUCACAAAUGAACUCGAUCUGGAAGCUCCAGAAAGUUGUGUUUAUUGAGGCAGAGAAAAGCAAGUGUCCUUGAAUUUGCUCACUGCCCCUCAUCUGUCCUUUGAUGUGCAAGGGGAACUGAAGAGGCACAGCCCGCACCUCUGUUCUCCCUGAUGCUGAUGGAGUGGAAGCUACCAACUCAAAACCUGCAUGGGGCACAGAGAAGACCAUGACUCCCAGGACCUCCCCUGCCCCACAACCGAGAGAAGAGGCAACAAGGUCCAGAAUCCGAAAUACCUGCAUGUCAUCAAUCUCAUUCCAUACGGUGCCAGGGACACGCUCCUAAGAUUCAGGCCCACCCCCAGCUUCCAGCAUCUGCCAGAAGGACUUGAAGCUGUUCAAGGAGGUAUAACUGAGGUCUGGAGCCAGAGAGCGGUAAGUCUGUUCCUAAUAUUCCCUACAUGUUGACACCCACCGCGUCGCCCUGAUGUGCCCACCUUGCAUAAUUCUCAAAUUUAAUUUUCCCACCACUCUGGCCAAGAGCCCAUCAUCUCUAGUCUAGAGUCCUGGGACUUCUGCCCGCUGGAGAUAUCCUUCACAUGCCAGGGAAAGCUUUCUCAAAAGCAUGUUUCGUUAUGUUUCCCCCAUGGUGCACUGCCUUUGGGGUCAGGCGGGCCUAGCUGGCUGACGCUCCCAGCCCUGCCAUUUUGUGGGACUGUGGGAAGACGGAGGGAUGAGAUUUUUCUCCCAUGUCACAUAAAAGGAAACUGAGUCUCCAUGAUGUUUUUUUACCUCACCGAGUUGAUGUGAGAAUUAAGUGAGAUAACAUACUUCAAACAUACAUGGUAGGGCCACUAAUAAUAAUCUAUUUAUUAUAUG
This 3776-nucleotide non-coding RNA is filed under the name Pongo abelii (Sumatran orangutan). The record is from RNAcentral. Lineage: Eukaryota; Metazoa; Chordata; Mammalia; Primates; Hominidae.